This 559-nucleotide ribosomal RNA is filed under the name uncultured bacterium. Its description in RNAcentral is "bacterial SSU rRNA". It matches the Rfam family "Bacterial small subunit ribosomal RNA", at positions 72 to 625 of the family's 1533-position model. The record is from RNAcentral.
GUCUUAGCUUGCUAAGACUGAUGGCGACCGGCGCACGGGUGCGUAACGCGUAUGCAACUUGCCUUACAGAGGGGGAUAACCCGUUGAAAGACGGACUAACACCGCAUAUGCUCAGGGGUCUGCAUGGGCCUUUGAGGAAAUAUUUAUAGCUGUAAGAUAGGCAUGCGUCCCAUUAGCUUGUUGGUGAGGUAACGGCUCACCAAGGCAACGAUGGGUAGGGGAACUGAGAGGUUUAUCCCCCACACUGGUACUGAGACACGGACCAGACUUCUACGGGAGGCAGCAGUGAGGAAUAUUGGUCAAUGGGCGAGAGCCUGAACCAGCCAAGUCGCGUGAAGGAUGAAGGCCCUAUGGGUCGUAAACUUCUUUUAUACGGGAAUAACGAGCCUUACGGGUAGGGCGCUGAAUGUACCGUAGGAAUAAGCAUCGGCUAACUCCGUGCCAGCAGCCGCGGUAAUACGGAGGAUGCGAGCGUUAUCCGGAUUUAUUGGGUUUAAAGGGUGCGUAGGUUGCUUGGUAAGUCAGCGGUGAAAACUGAACGCUCAACGUUCAGCGUGCC